RNAcentral lists this ribosomal RNA (512 nucleotides) under uncultured Bacteriovorax sp. RNAcentral's name for it is "bacterial SSU rRNA". It matches the Rfam family "Bacterial small subunit ribosomal RNA", at positions 32 to 541 of the family's 1533-position model. The record is from RNAcentral. Lineage: Bacteria; Pseudomonadati; Bdellovibrionota; Bacteriovoracia; Bacteriovoracales; Bacteriovoracaceae.
AACGCUGGCGGCCUGCCUAAUACAUGCAAGUCGAACGUGAAAAGGGGCAACCCUUAGUAAAGUGGCGCACGGGUGAGUAACACGUAGGUAAUCUGCCUUUUAGUGGGGAAUAACACAGGGAAACCUGUGCUAAUGCCGCAUAAGUAAGCAAUUAGAAAGUGGGCGCCGCAAGGGCUCAUGCUGAAAGAAGAGCCUGCGGCCUAUUAGCUAGUUGGUGGGGUAAUGGCCUACCAAGGCAACGAUAGGUAUCCGGUCUGAGAGGAUGAUCGGACACACUGGAACUGAGACACGGUCCAGACUCCUACGGGAGGCAGCAGUAGGGAAUAUUGCGCAAUGGGGGAAACCCUGACGCAGCAACGCCGCGUGAGUGAGGAAGGUCUUCGGAUUGUAAAACUCUUUUAUUAGGGAAAAAUGUCCUUGUGGUUAAUACCCAUGAGGAGUGAUGGUACCUAAGGAAUAAGCACCGGCUAACUUCGUGCCAGCAGCCGCGGUAAUACGAAGGGUGCAAGCGU